This 920-nucleotide ribosomal RNA is filed under the name uncultured archaeon. Its description in RNAcentral is "bacterial SSU rRNA". It matches the Rfam family "Archaeal small subunit ribosomal RNA", at positions 1 to 922 of the family's 1478-position model. The record is from RNAcentral.
UUCCGGUUGAUCCCGCCGGAGGUCAUUGCUAGUGGAGUCCGAUUUAGCCAUGCUAGUUGCACGAGUUCAGGCUCGUAGCAGAUAGCUCAGUAACACGUGGCCAAACUACCCUACAGAGCGCGAUAACCUCGGGAAACUGAGGCUAAUAGCGCAUACGGCUCUCACGCUGGAACUGCGGAGAGCUCGAAACGCCCCGGCGCUGUAGGAUGUGGCUGCGGCCGAUUAGGUAGACGGUGGGGUAACGGCCCACCGUGCCAGUAAUCGGUACGGGUUGUGAGAGCAAGAGCCCGGAGACGGUAUCUGAGACAAGAUACCGGGCCCUACGGGGCGCAGCAGGCGCGAAACCUUUACACUGCACGCCAGUGCGAUAAGGGGACUCCAGGUGCGAGGGCAUAUAGUCCUCGCUUUUGUACACCGUAAGGUGAUGUACGAAUAAGUGCUGGGCAAGACCGGUGCCAGCCGCCGCGGUAAUACCGGCAGCACGAGUGAUGACCGCUAUUAUUGGGCCUAAAGCGUCCGUAGCUGGCCAGGCAAGUCCGUCGGGAAAUCUCCCCGCCCAACGGGGAGGCGUCCGGUGGAAACUGCCUGGCUUGGGACCGGAAGAUCCAGAGGGUACGUCCGGGGUAGGAGUGAAAUCCCGUAAUCCUGGACGGACCACCGGUGGCGAAAGCGCUCUGGAAAGACGGAUCCGACGGUGAGGGACGAAAGCUCGGGUCACGAACCGGAUUAGAUACCCGGGUAGUCCGAGCUGUAAACGAUGUCUGCUAGGUGUGCCACAGGCUACGAGCCUGUGGUGUGCCGUAGGGAAGCCGUGAAGCAGACCGCCUGGGAAGUACGUCCGCAAGGAUGAAACUUAAAGGAAUUGGCGGGGGAGCACUACAACCGGAGGAGCCUGCGGUUUAAUUGGAUUCAACGCCGGA